This 364-nucleotide ribosomal RNA is filed under the name uncultured bacterium. RNAcentral's name for it is "bacterial SSU rRNA". It matches the Rfam family "Bacterial small subunit ribosomal RNA", at positions 29 to 412 of the family's 1533-position model. The record is from RNAcentral.
AACGAACGCUGGCGGCAGGCUUAAUACAUGCAAGUCGAACGGGCGCGAGCAAUCGCGUCAGUGGCAGACGGGUGAGUAACACGUGGGAACCUUCCUCGUUGUACGGAACAACUCAGGGAAACUUGAGCUAAUACCGUAUAAGUCCGAGAGGAGAAAGAUUUAUCGCAAUGAGACGGGCCCGCGUCGGAUUAGGUAGUUGGUGAGGUAACGGCUCACCAAGCCAACGAUCCGUAGCUGAUCUGAGAGGAUGAUCAGCCACACUGGGACUGAGACACGGCCCACGACUCCUACGGGAGGCAGCAGUAGGGAAGUCUUUGGACAAUGGGCGGCAAGCCUGAUCCAGCCAUGCCGCGUGAGUGAAGAA